CCUACACGAAAGAAGAAGUUUCAUUUUGGCUAAACCUUAUGAGUUCUCUUCGAUUGAAAAAUUCUCUGGAUUUCGCCCACCUUAUGCGGUGGUUUAUCAAGCGUUUCAAAAUCUUGGUCUUUUGAGUUUCUUUAACAUCCGAUUUCUUAGAUCUAGUUAUGUGUUUAUGCACCUCACAUAGAGUAAGGAUAUGGCUCGUGUGUGGCUCCGGGGUGUAUGGUUCAUUGGAGGUGUGCCGUUGAGAAUCUUCAAGUGGAUGCCACACUUUUCUUAUGCUGCUGAAUCUUCAGUAGUGCUUGUGUGGGUGCACUUUUCGGACCUUCCAAUCCAUAUGUUUAACAAGGCGAGCCUUUUCUCUACUGCUAGCAUUAUAGGGAAGCUGAUCAAAAUAGAUGAAGCUACGACAGAUUGCUCGAGAUUAUCAGUAGCAAGGGUGUGUGUGGAAAUUGAUUUGCUCAAACCAAAGAUUGAGGAUUUAUGGAUUGGAAUAGGAGAAGAGAAGAGGUUACAAAGAGUGGAAUUUGAAAAGCAUCCCAAUUAUGUGUUCAGUGUUUACAUCUAGGACAUUCUGUUGAGGAUUAUUAUGCUAAAGGAAACAAUGAGAGACCUCCAAGGAGGGCUGUUAAUUUGGACUCUAAAGCUGGUGGUGAAGACUUAAGAGAGUUGUUAAAUAGACAGAAGCCAUUUGGUACAGAAAAGCGGGAUGUUGAGCCUUCUUUUGAGCCAAGGGCAGAAGGUUUACAGAUAGCAGAAAAGUAGGUUUGGAUGCAAAAGAAAGGAAACUCAAUUGAUUUGGCUAAGAAGAACAAAGAUGGUGGUGUGAGAGAAUAGGUUUCAUCUUUUGAAUGGUUUGGAGGAGGAGGAAAAAGAAACUCAGAAGAGGCAAUGGAAUAGGUGGUGGAUGAAAUGGGCUCUGGUGUAAAAGGAGGUAAGAGUGAUUUAGAGGGGUUACGUGUAGUAACAAAAAGCAUUUUGGAAGAAGAGGAACAAGAUUUAGAUGAGUUGGAUGCUCAUCUGGCUACUGUUUUGGGUUCGGUUCCUGUGGACAGUCAAAGCAAUGUAGUAAGUGAUGGGAUAAGGAGGGAUAAGGGGAAAUCAGUGGUUGAAGUUGUAAAUCAGAAGGCAUCCCAAUAGGUUGUGCAAGUUAAGAAUUUCGCUGUGGGAAAAAACAAUCAGAAGGGGCAGAGUCAUGUUCCAGCUCAAAAUCAGAUCAAGCCAAUCUUGAAGGUGACUAUAGGUUCUAAACUAGCUGGACGGGUGGCAAACCAGAAGGUGCAGAUUGUGUUAAAUCUUGAGCAGAAGGUUUCAACAGGAGGUGGUGUUCUUUCUUUACAGAGUCAAUUUGGUUAUGUGGGAUUGGCAGGAAUACAAGAUGCUAUAGGAUGGCUGCCACUUCGACUGUUAGAACUGAAAUUUGUACUGAGCCAAGGGCAUCCAAACAGCAAGAUAUUGUUACUGGGGGUUAUGAGGUGUUUGGGACAAAACUGAAGGAGCUGAUGGGGCCUUGUGCUCUUAAUCAAGAGAAUUUAGAUUCUGGACAGUGAGAAAAUUCUUCAUAUACAGGUAUGCAGGAUGAAUCUAAAGGGAAUGAGGUGUCUAAGUCUUUUAUGGAUGAGGAUGAUUCAGAUUAUGAAGAAGCAGUGGAUUCACAGUUAUCUGCUUCUUUUCCUCAGGCUUUUGAUGCUAAGGAUCUGCUGAAGACUUCUUCUAUUAAUAUACCAUUGGGGGUUACUCGAAUGGUUACUAGAAGCAAAUCUCAGGUACCUAAGGCUCGUUCUUCCUCUAAAUUUUAAAUGUCAGGUUUAAUAUGGAAUAUAAGGGGGUUAGGGAAUAAUGCUUCUCUUAGGAGGUUAUUGUAUUUGAAGAAGCUACAUCAUAUUAAUUUUAUGGGGAUCUUGGAGCCUUUCAUUCCUCUUGAUGCUAAUUUUAUCACUAGGAGGUUGGGUUUUGAUGGUGCUAUUUCUAAUUGUUCUGGUAAGAUUUGGUUUUUGUAUGACCAUACUAUAGUUUGCAAUGUGUUAGUGGAUCAUGAUCAGUUUCUGCAUCUUAAAAUCUGCUCUCCUAUUUUUUCUAUUUCCAUUUUGGUAUCUGUGGUAUAUGUGAAAUGUCAUAGAAUUGAAAGAAGGAUUUUAUGGGUUGAUUUAUUGGUUGUUAAGCCAGUUAUGGAUGAAUUUUGCUUAGUAGGAGGAGAUUUUAAUGUAAUUACUGGUAUGAAUGAGCAUUCGGCAGGAUCUCUUGCUAAACCUAGUGCUACUUAUGAAUUUAAUAAUUUUUCAAAUGUUAGCUGGACUUCUAGAUGCUGGCUUUGUGGGUGAUAGAUUUACAUGGACUAAUGGCAAAGUUUGGAAGCGUUUGGACAGGAUCUUGGUAUCUCCAUCUUGGGGGGAUCAAAAUUACAUGGUACGAGUGGAGCAUUUGAGUAGGGUAGUGUCGGACCAUUGCCCUCUGCACAUUUCUAUCCCCAGCUUUAGUUUGCCAAAGGCUUCAUUUUGAUUUCAGAAAAUGUGGACCAAGCACCACAAUUUUUAUCUUACAGUUCGCUUGAAUUGGUUGCUGCCAUGUUCUGGUUUUGGCCUUCAGAAAUUUCAAUUUAAACUUAAAAGACUGAAGGCUCAUUUGAAAUGGUGGAAUGCAGAGGUAUUUGGUAACAUUUUUGAGAAUGUUAAGAAGGCUGAGGAGGUUUUCGAAUUGGCAGAAAAGGCUUUUGAUCUUUCUCCUACUAUGGAGAAUAAAAUUUACAUGGCUAAGUGUCAAGCCUCUCUUUUUCAUACGCUAGAUAUGGAGGAAAUGUUCUGGAAACAAAAGGCGUCUGUAAAAUUGUUUGGGGGAAGGUGAAAGGAACAUUAAAUUUUUUUUCAUAAUCUGGUAUUGAAAAGGAGGAUGUCAAGCAGGAUUUUUAGAAUUUGGGAAGAAGGGGUUUGUUUGGAGAGUAAUGACCUUAUUCAGGCUUCUAGAGCUCACUUCUUUGAAGAACUUUUAACAGGGGAGGACUUUGUCUGUGAUUUUGUGAGUAUGGAUAUUAUUCCGCAUUUAGUGAGUUGAGAGGAAAAUCAGGUUUUGUCAGCCUUACCUUCUUUUGAGGAAUUAAAGCAAGUGGUAUGGGAGAUGUGUGAAGAUAGUGCAGCUGGUCCGGAUAGUUUUUCUGUUGCUUUUUAUGUGGCCUGUUGGGAUAUUAUUAAAGAGGAUUUGUUUCAAGCUGUUUUGGGUUUUUCCAAGGGGGUUCUCUCCCCAAAGGUAUGACAGCUACUACUAUUAUGCUUAUUACUAAAACUGAAAAUGCGCAAUGUUGGCAAGAGUUUAGACCAAUUAGUUUAUAUAAUAUUUCAAAUAAAGUUAUAGCGAUGUUAUUGGCAAAUCGGUUGAGCUUGGUGCUGGAGAAACUUAUAUCUCAGUCACAGAGUGGCUUUGUAGCAGGGAGAUUAAUUUCAGAUAAUAUUUUAUUGGCACAAGAAUUUAAUCAUAAGCUGAAUUAUCAUGCUAAAGGAGGAAUUUAAUAUUGAAAUUGGAUAUGACCAAGGCAUAUGAUAGAAUUCAAUGGAGUUUUUUGUUUAAAGUUAUGGCUGCUUUUGGUUUCUCUGGAAAGUUUAUUGAUUUAGUAAGGCGGUGCAUUGGUGAGUGUUGAUUUUUUGUGAGAAUUAAUGGACAAUUGUUGGAUUUUUUUCCUUCUAAAAGGGGUUUAAGGCAAGGUGAUCCGAUAUCCCCUUUGUUGUUCAUUAUAGCGGCAGAAUUUUUAUCAAGAGGGUUGGAUGAUUUAUUUUCUAGAUAUCCUCAAAUGUGUUUUGAAUCCAAUUGUGCUUUGAAGCUAUCUCAUUUAGCUUUGCGGAUGAUGUCAUGAUUUUGAUGAAUGGAUCACUUAAUUGUGUUAAAAGGAUUCAGAAGUUCCUGGACUCAUAUAUGGUGUCUUCGGGGCAAUCCAUAAAUGCUGCUAAGAGUUUUUUUUUAUCCUUCUAAGAUAGUAUCUACAGCUAGAAGGGGGCAAAUUGCAAGUAUUACAAGUUUUAGGGAAAGGGCUGCACCAAUCAUGUAUUUGGGAGUUCCUAUAUUUUCUGGUAAUCGAAAGGUAGUUUAUUUUCAGCCCCUUUUAGAGAAAGUGAGGGCAAGGAUGCUAGGUUGGAAUCUCUCAAGGUUUUCUUAUGGUGGUCGGCUUAUCUUAUCCAAAGUAUUUUAUGCUCUAUGCCUUUUUACUUAAUGCAGGUUGUCCUUCCUCCAUUAUCUAUUUUACAUCAAUUAGAGAUGUUGUUUGCCAACUUUUUUUGGGGUUCUACUAGUUCUAACAAGAAAAUACACUGGAUUAGUUGUGUUGAGAUUUGUAAACCAAGACUGGAAGGUGGUUUGGGGAUACGAAGGCUUUCGGAUGUUGCUAUGGCGGUUACUUUGAAAUUCUGGUUUUGGUUUAGGGAGCAAAAAUUUCUUUGGCCAAUUUUUAUGAGUAAAUUGUAUUGUGGUAGAGUUUCUCCAAGUGCGGUUCUUCUAAAAAGUAAUGCUUCUUCAGUUGGCGCAAACUUUUGAAGAUACGCAGCCAUGGAGAGAGGAAUAUAGGCUGGGUUCUUGGAAAUGGUGAUAUUAGAUUUUGGUAUGAUAAUUGGUUGGAUUGUGGUCCUCUUUACCUUUCUUCCCAAUUUCUGGUAAUCUGGAUAGCAAAGUUGCAGAUUUUAUUUGCAACUUGGGAUGGAAGGUGAAUAAGCUUAAAGGGGUUUUACCGGAUCAGAUUGUUGCUGAAAUUGUGGACUUUCUGCCUAUUAUGGAGGGGAUCCAUGAUCGGGCAGAGAAUGUAGAAGGGGCUGGAUAUUCGGGUGUGAGAGAUUGCAUUGUAUGGAAGUCAUCUUUGGAUGGGAGGUUUUCUAUGAAAUCGGCAUGGCAAUGCAUUUGGGAGGGUCAGCAACAGGCUAUUUUUGGACAGUGGAAUGGGAUCUGUAGUGCAGUUUGGAGUAAGCUUUUAUAUCCAAAUAUUUCUAUUUCUGUUUAGCGUUUUCUAAGGAAGCGGUUGCCAGUGGAUGAAGAGCUGCAAAGGAGGGGAGUUUGAUUAGCUUCUAAAUGUUAUUGCUGUGAUUUUGUGGAGUCAUGGGAUUAUUUGUUUUUUCAUGGAGCUAUUGCAUUAGAAGUGUAGAGAUAUUUUGCUCAAUUGUUUGGUGUUGAUCGUUUUUUGUUUUUUGAAAAGUGGAGGGUUGGCUGGUCCUGGUCUCAUGGUGGUCAUAUUAGGGAAGUUAUUCCUUUUUUGAUUAUAUGGUUUCUAUAGUGUUCAAGAAACGAUGCUAAGCAUCGUGGCGUAAAGCAUGUGGCAAAGAAGAUUAUUUGGCAAGUUGCCCAUUAUCUGAUUACUGAUUUGGCUGCGGGAUUCAUUAAGCCAAAGGCAUUGGAAGGGCUUUAUUGCUGUGGCUCAUCAUUUGGGGGUUCUAGUGAGGCCAAAUGUUGUUAACACCAUUUCGGUGGUGAGAUGGAAGAAACCAAAGGGUGGAACCUUUAAGUUGAAUACGGAUGGCUGCUCGAAGGGGAACCCAAGUUUAUCUUCCUUUGGGGUUAUUGUACGAGAUCAUGAUGGUAAAGUGGUGUUGGCAAAGUCUGAAUUAAUUGGACUUGGGUCGAACGUUAGAGCUGAAUUGGUAGCUAUUCCUAAAGGGCUGGAAUUAUGUGCGGAGAAUCAAUUAUUUCCAAUUUAGCUUGAGUCUAAUUCUUUAGUAGCUUUGAAGAUAUUGUCAUCCUUUUAUUUCUCUUGGGAAUUUCGUAACUUGAUACGUAAAAUCAGAGGUACUAUUUGUAAGUAUCAAGUGUUUUUCUCUCAUGUGUAUAGAGAGGCUAAUGUGGCGGUUGAUUAUAUUGCUAAUCAAGCUUUUAUUUCUGCUUGGGAAAGUGUCUUUGAGUUUGAUAAGGAAUUUUGUGGAAUUUGCUGUUUGGAUAGGAGUGGUAUAUUCGGUUUUCUUCUAAGCCAGUUUAAAAUGUUGCAUGUGCUCUGGAUUUGGGAUGGCAAAGGAGUUUUUGGGAAUCUGGAUUUGUUUUGCUUGGUGGUGUAUCUGCAGUUGUUUAUUUGUGUUGGUUUCUUCUAUGCCUUUUCAUUCUGGCGCUUCAGUUUUUGUUGAAGCUGGUUUUUGGUACGUUUUCAUUUGGAUAUGUAUAGUGGUGGAAUUCAGGUAAUCUCUUGGUCUUUUCUGGUGGAGCUAUGGAUGAAGGUAUUGUUGCAGAUUUUUUUCUUGAUAAAGAAGCAGGUUUUGGAGAUAGAUUAUCUUUUGUGUUCUUUCAUAUUAUACUUGAAUUAUUGUCUUGGUUUUCUUGUGCCUUGGUGGUUUCGGUUUGGCCUUCUUCAAGUGUUGAUUGUGGUGGUAUGGUAUACAAUAAAGUCAAAGUGUAUAUAUGAGAUCUGUUGCUGGCUUUGGUUGUGGAUGUGCUCAGGAUUAUGGUGCUGUCGGCAAAUGCAAGUCUUAAUGGUGUUUGGGGUGCGGAAAUUAGUGGUGGAUCUUUUUGUUUAUAAUCACUUGGAUGUGGAGGAAUUUGAUUAUAAGCUGGUUUUGAAUUGGAUAUGUAUAUGGUGGUGGGAGAAAUGUUUUUUGGUUUUUUCUGGUGGAGCUUUGGUUGAAGGUUUGGUGCAGAUUUCAUUUGGAUAAGAAGUAGAGAUUGGAAAAAUGGUUUUCUGUGUGACUCACCAAAUUAUGGUUUAAGUAUUGUCAUGGUUUGUUGUGGUGGUAUGGUAUACAAUAUAUUCAAAGUUUGGUGAGCUUAUCUAAUGUGGACUUUGUGAUUGUUUGGUUUGUUUGCACUUUAUGUGGUGGAUUGUUUGUUGGACUGUAUGUGACAGGUGUGACUGUUUGGUGAGCUUAUCCGCUGUGGUGGAUGUUUUCCUGCUACGGACUUGUGCGGUGAUGAAGUAAGUGGAAAUGGUGGUGUUAGUCUAGCCCUGAGCAUAGUUCAGAACUGAUGAUUUUAAGAUGUUUUAUACUGCUCGGGCCUUUUAAUGUGCAAGUGUUGGUGAAGUAUGGGCAUAGAUGUAGAGAUGUGCAGAUGGCUUGACUGGUUCUAUAUUUUGGUGUUAUGCAUGCUUGUUGCUGGUUUGCUUCUGUACCCAGGAACUUGUUUGUUCUAUGAGGUUUGGAAAAUUUUUGUGAGCAGGUUGUGUAUAGCUGUGAUCCAUAUGAUGACUGCUAUGCUGAUGUUAAGGUUUUGUAAAGCUCUGUUUUGAAAACUUUUACAGAGUUAGUUUCUUACUUUUCAGUUCCUGUAAAGCAGUUGGAGUCCUUGUAAUAUGCUAUACUAGAAGGUCGGGUAUGGUCUCCUUCUAGUAUGGUAUUCCUUUCUUUUAUAAGAAAUGAUAUGU
RNA transcript from Zingiber officinale, 7303 nucleotides. RefSeq lists it as uncharacterized. The record is from RefSeq and is a predicted model, not a curated record. NCBI's taxonomy places the organism in Eukaryota, Viridiplantae, Streptophyta, Magnoliopsida, Zingiberales, Zingiberaceae. The transcript has 2 exons.